This 433-nucleotide ribosomal RNA is filed under the name uncultured bacterium. RNAcentral describes it as "partial 16S ribosomal RNA". It matches the Rfam family "Bacterial small subunit ribosomal RNA", at positions 29 to 507 of the family's 1533-position model. The record is from RNAcentral.
AACGAACGCUGGCGGCAGGCUUAACACAUGCAAGUCGAACGCACCUUCCGGGGUGAGUGGCAGACGGGUGAGUAACGCGUGGGAAUCUACCCUUCUCUACCGGAUCGUUCCGGGAAACUGGAAUUAAUACCGUAUACGUCCUGCGGGAGAAAGAUUUAUCGGGGAAGGAUGAGCCCGCGUUGGAUUAGCUAGUUGGUGGGGGAAAGGCCUACCAAGGCGAGGAUCCAUAGCUGGUCUGAGAGGAUGAUCAGCCGCAUUGGCAAUGAGACACGGCCCAAACUGCUACGGAGAGGAGCAGAAUAGAGUACUAGGCGAGGAAGGCAGGUCUGAUAAAGCCGUGCCGGGUGAGACGUGAAGGCGGUAGUAAAGUGAAGCUCUUUCAGAGGAGGCGUGAGUGACGGUACCCACAGAAGAAGCCCCGGCUAACUUCGUG